UGAAUACGAGAUGCUACGGCAUUGAAGCAGUGUAUGUCAGACUUCCAAGAAAAGCUCGCAAUGUCAUAAACAAUAAAUGCCUGUACCAUAACCGACACAGGUGGGUAGGUAGAGUAUACUAAGGGGCGCGAGAUAACUCUCUCUAAGGAACUCGGCAAAAUGACUCCGUAACUUCGGGAGAAGGAGUGCCUUAUUUUAUAAGGUUGCAAUAACAAGAUCCAAGCAACUGUUUACCAAAAACACAGGUCUCCGCUAAGUCGAAAGACGAUGUAUGGGGGCUGACGCCUGCCCAGUGCCAGAAGGUUAAAGAAGUUGGUUAGCUUCGGCGAAGCUGAUGACUGAAGCCCUGGUGAACGGCGGCCGUAACGAUAACGGUCCUAAGGUAGCGAAAUUCCUUGUCGGGUAAGUUCCGACCCGCACGAAAGGCGUAAUGAUUUGGAUACUGUCUCGGAGAGGGGCUCGGUGAAAUAGACUUGUCUGUGAAGAUGCGGACUACCUGCACCUGGACAGAAAGACCCUAUGAAGCUUUACUGUAACUUGAGAUUGAAAUUGGACUUUAUUUGCGCAGUAUAGGUGGGAGACGUUGAGAAUACUCUUGCGGGAAUAUUGGAGUCAUCAGUGAGAUACCACUCUUGUAAUGUUAGAUUUCUAACUUUGUAUCAUUAUCUGGUCAAAGGACAGUUUCAGGCGGGCAGUUUGACUGGGGCGGUCGCCUCCUAAACGGUAACGGAGGCGCACAAAGGUUUCCUCUGAACGUGUAGAAAUCGUAUCUAGAGUGUAAAGGCAUAAGGAAGCUUGACUGUGAGACCUACAAGUCGAGCAGGGACGAAAGUCGGUCUUAGUGAUCUGACGGUGCUGAGUGGAAAGGCCGUCACUCAACGGAUAAAAGUUACUCUAGGAUAACAGGCUGAUCUCCCCCAAGAGUUCACAUCGACGGGGAGGUUUGGCACCUCGAUGUCGGCUCAUCGCAUCCUGGGGCGGUAGUACGUCCCAAGGGUUGGGCUGUUCGCCCAUGAAAGCGGUACGCGAGCUGGGUUCAGAACGCCGUGAGACAGUUCGGUCCAUAUCCGGUGUAGGCGUUAGAAUAUUGAGAGGAGCCUUCUUUAGUACGAGAGGACCGAGAAGGACAUACCUCUGGUGUACCAGUUAUCGUGCCAACGGUAAACGCUGGGUAGCUAUGUAUGGAGUGGAUAACCGCUGAAAGCAUCUAAGUGGGAAGCCCACCUCAAGAUAAG
RNAcentral lists this ribosomal RNA (1235 nucleotides) under metagenome. RNAcentral describes it as "bacterial LSU rRNA". It matches the Rfam family "Bacterial large subunit ribosomal RNA", at positions 1564 to 2808 of the family's 2925-position model. The record is from RNAcentral.